GAAAGCAUCUAAGCGGGAAGCGCGCCUCAAGAUGAGAUCUCCCGGGGCACAAGCCCCCUGAAGGAACCAUGUAGACUACGUGGUUGAUAGGUCAGGUGUGUAAGUACAGCAAUGUAUUGAGCUAACUGAUACUAAUGAUCCGUGCGGCUUGACCAU
This 156-nucleotide ribosomal RNA is filed under the name Stenotrophomonas maltophilia. RNAcentral's name for it is "partial 23S ribosomal RNA". It matches the Rfam family "Bacterial large subunit ribosomal RNA", at positions 2773 to 2925 of the family's 2925-position model. Lineage: Bacteria; Pseudomonadati; Pseudomonadota; Gammaproteobacteria; Lysobacterales; Lysobacteraceae. The record is from RNAcentral.